This 480-nucleotide ribosomal RNA is filed under the name uncultured bacterium. RNAcentral describes it as "partial 16S ribosomal RNA". It matches the Rfam family "Bacterial small subunit ribosomal RNA", at positions 28 to 507 of the family's 1533-position model. The record is from RNAcentral.
GACGAACGCUGGCGGCGUGCUUAACACAUGCAAGUCGAACGAUGAAGAAAAGAAUUGAAGCUUCGGCAGAAAUUCAUUUCGGAUUAGUGGCAGACGGGUGAGUAACGCGUGAGCAACCUACCUCUUACAAAGGGAUAGCCUCGGGAAACCGGGAUUAAUACCAUAUAACAUUGCGACGAAGCAUUUCGAUGCAAUCAAAGCUACGGCGGUAAGAGAUGGGCUCGCGUCCCAUUAACCAGAUGGUGAGGUAACGGCUCACCAUAGUAACGAUGGGUAACCGGCCUGAGAGGGUGAACGGUCACACUGGAACUGAGACGCGGUCCAGACUCCUACGGGAGGCAGCAGUGGGGAAUAUUGCACAAUGGAGGGAACUCUGAUGCAGCGACGCCGCGUGAGUGAUGAAGGAAUUCGUUUCGUAAAACUCUGUUCUAUGGGAAGAAAAGGACUGUACCAUAGGAGAAAGCUCCGGCUAAAUACGUG